RNAcentral lists this transfer RNA (56 nucleotides) under Heterakis beramporia. RNAcentral describes it as "tRNA-Leu". The record is from RNAcentral. Lineage: Eukaryota; Metazoa; Nematoda; Chromadorea; Rhabditida; Heterakidae.
ACAUAUAUAGUAUAAGAUUUUAUAUUCAAUUUAGGUUUGAAAGAAGAGGGUAUGUU